Molecule: ribosomal RNA, 406 nt
Filed under: uncultured bacterium
Lineage: Bacteria
Description: partial 16S ribosomal RNA
Rfam family: Bacterial small subunit ribosomal RNA
Source: RNAcentral
AUUGAACGCUGGCGGCCGGCCUAACACAUGCUAGUCGAACGAGUGGCGGACGGGUGAGUCAUGCCUGGGAAACUGCCUGUUGGAGGGGGAUAACUACUGGAAACGGUAGCUAAUACCGCAUACCAUCAGAUGUGCCCAGAUGGGAUUAGCUAGUUGGUGGGGUAACGGCUCACCAAGGCGACGAUCCCUAGCUGGUCUGAGAGGAUGACCAGCCACACUGGAACUGAGACAUGGUCCAGAGGCCUACGGGAGGCAGCAGUGGGGAAUAUUGCACAAUGGGCGCAAGCCUAAUGCAGCAAUGCCGCGUGUAUGAAGAAGGCCUUCGGGUUGUAAAGUACUUUCAGCGGGGAGGCGUUACCCGCAGAAGAAGCACCGGCUAACUCCGAGCCAGCAGCCGCGGUAAUUC